CCUUAUUUUGACAUUUUGGUAGAAGGUCUAUCCCAUCUUACCAGCUCCUCACGCAAAGGGUCAUUAUCCGUCACUGGAAAGCAAAAAAUAAAACGACCAAGAAAGAAAUCUGUGCCUCAGAAAUAAAGGCAAGAAAGGAAUUUCACUGUUUUGAGCAAACUGAACUGGAGUUGUAGCAUCUGUUAACUAUCCUUUAGUUGUUGUUUUAAUUCCAUCUGGAGCAGAGUCCCAGGAGUUAGAAAGAUGAUAACAGAGCAAGAUUAUCUAGAUGGAGAACAGGGGGUAAUCUUGGUUGUAUUAACGAGGACAUGGUGGUGAAGGAGAGGUGAUAACUUCGGGGAUUACAGUGGUUUCCUGCGGCUGGAAUGGGGGCUGAGGGGGGGGUGGUGGGAGGAGAUAAAACAGAGGAAGAGAAAGGCAAGUUGAUGAAGUACCUCACAUGCUGUGCUAAAAACUGUGGAUUUAUCCUGAAGGUCAAUGGAAAGAUCAUGAAAACCAUCCUUUCUAGGCUGAACCCACUGACUGCAGUGUCAAAGGAGGACGGUGUGGGAGGGAAGAGUCUAGAGGCAGGGAGGAGGGUAACCCAGAAGAUAAGAUGGUCAGGAAGCAAAACUGAAAAGAUGUGGUGACUAGUUGGAUUUUCUUUUCUUUUCUUUUUGUCUGUGCCCCGCAGCACGUGGGAUCUUCAUUCCCCGACCAGGGAUUGAACCUGUGCCCCCUGUAUUGGAAGCGCAGAGUCUUAACCACUGGACCAUCAGGGAAGUCUCCGCAGUUGGAUCUUUAUGUUUAGGGUACGGGUAGUUGAGAAAAGGGGAGAUUCUGUUAACUUUCGAAGGUUUGGACCUUUGGAUGGAUGAUGCCGUUACUCAUCUCGGAAAAAGAAUAAAAAAGAAGAGUAGUUUCGGGUGGAGCAGGAGUGGAGAGAGGAGGGUGGUUAGUCUGUGAACGUGGAAUUACUUGAAGGAGCCCUGGGUGUAACUGGGGAUGUUUAGUAGGCGGUUGGCUAAAUGGACUUGGAGCUCAGAAAAGAAAUACGAGCUAGAAAAUCAGAGUUUAUCCGCUAGUCAACUAACCAUCAACUAAGUAAGUGAUCGAGUUAUUCAACUAAAUAAUAGUUGAAGCCAUGGCUGUCCCAGUUAAAGAAGCUGAGCCUGUACUCUGGGUGCCAGGCAAUUCACACGUCUGAACUCAUUCACUCUUCCUUAUGACCCCAUGAAGUUGGUCUGCGUAUUGGCCCCACUUUAUAAGAGGGGACACGUCAGAGAUGUCAGGGAACCUGCCCAGGAUCACACACACGCAGCCUGCAGCCUGCAGGUUCUGAGUCUAGUGCCCACGUGCUUCCCCACGUGCCGGGAAUGGACUCCGAGCGAGAAGAGAACUGGGCUGAGGUCAGAAUCACAGGGGCCGCUGGCGUUAAGGGAUGAGCAGAGAAUGGGAGUGGUAGAAGAAUUCGGAGGGUUGGCAUGGAAGUCAAAGGAAGGCGUUUCCAGAAGGGAGGUGAGUGGAAGGACCUGCUGACAGCUGUUCUAGGGAAGCCAUGUGUACACACCCUGGGAUGGAGGAGCACACAGCCAAGUGAAGACCUGCAAAACCAGACUCAGUCAGCAGCCUGAGAGAGCUCGAAUCUCCAAGCUCCACUUCACUGAGGCUGGAGCAAGUGGCAUGGGAUCCAAGAAACAGGCUUAAAUCCUGGAGUUGCUGAGGAUAGGGUGUGGAGAGAAGCAGCAGCGGUUUCAACCUUCGCAGGCUCCUCCCAGGAGAGAAGGAGGACCUGUUAUAUCUGGAGAAGCAGCAAGAUGGAAGAAGACAUUGAGCCCCUAGAUCUUCUUGCCUUGUUCCCCGAAUACUCUCAAUUAUGCCAGUACAGGUAGCCUGUUCUUAUUCCUGUUUCACCGACGGACAAGGUGAGGACACAGAGACUGAACGCCCAUGCAUUCCUGACGGCAGCACAACUGGUACACCACGGAGCUGGGGCGAGAAUCGAGACCAUGAGUGCUUUUAGCAUUGCCCCGCCGUGUUCCCUCUCCACAUUCCACAGAAGGGUUUAUUAAGGAUCGCAUUUUGCAUAAGGCAGCCGAUGGUAGCAAUGGUCCCCUGAAGCCAGGGUCCCAGGCUGUGGAGCUGGUAGGGCUGGGGCGUCUCUUGCCUUGGCUUGGGGUUGGCCCAAGGGAUUAAAAUCACUAGGGUACAAGAGGAAGGAUGCCAAGGUUGGAAGCCAGGCCCAGCCUGAAUUGGGCUGUGCUGGUGGCAUGCGAAGUUACGAAGCAUUUUCAAAGUACCUAUGACAUUUUAUUUUAGGUAGUAAAAUCUUUACGUUCAAGCUGUUAGAAAAUAUUUGAAACAAGCCAUUCCUAAAUAUGUUUAUGUAAGUAUUCCUAAGACACACUACACACAUGUGUGAGUCAGACUAAGUUCUUCAUAAAAUAGAAUUGAAUUCAGUUGUUUAAAAUGGGUUUGCUGUUGGGUUGCAUGGAGACAUGUACGUGGUUUGAUCGUAGCCCUCACUUUUCAAUGUUUUGAGUGUCAAAAGGACAUAGGAUGGCACCUUUCUUAGGAAGUGUGAUUUAUAAUAUACUCCACACUCAGUGAAAAUUGAGUUUGUGUAGUAGUUAGGAUUAGGUUGCUAGAAGAUCCAAAAUAACAGUGGCUUAAAGAAAAUAGAAGUUUCUUUUUCUCUCAUGAACGAAGUCAGGAGUCAGUUCACAGAUGGUUUGGUGGCUUCAUGGUAUCAGGGGCUCAUGCUCCUCCUGUCUUGUUACUCACUAUGCAUGAAUUCUAUUUCCAAAUUCACCUCAUGGGCCAACAUGGCUGCUGGAGUGCCAGCAAUUAUAUUUGCAAUCCAGGCAGUAGGAAGAAAAAAGGAGUGAAAAUGAGGGCACACUCUCUUCCACUUCCACUAUGUCUCCUCGGCUAGAACUCUGUGAUACGCCAGAUCUGGCUAUAAAGCAGACUGAGAAAUGUAUGAUUUUAGCUAGCCAUGAUGUUCUCAGCUAAAACAAUAAUUAGGAUUAUUUUUACAAGGAAAAAAAAGGAAGAAUGAAUAUUGAGUGGCAAUUAGGAAUCUCUGCCACAGCUUGGUUAUGGAACCUAUUCCCUUCAUCUUAUUCCCUAGGCUCCCCACACUUGCUCCUUGCCCAUCCCCUCUUGCACAUGUGCAAUUAAAAAACGACCCUAUUGCUUGAGAGACCCAGAGCCAUGCAGAACAGAAAAGAUCAUUAUGGGUGGAAACUGAGUCCAACUAGGGAGCUUCUUGCUAUGAUUAUUUGCCUUUAUUAUCAAUAUCAUUUAUUUCAUCAUCAAAAAACCUUACUGUGCACUAGAAUGUGUAGGGGAAAACAUCAGAGGUGUUAGGAAAUAUAAUACAGGAUUCCUGUCUCUACCCUUGACUUUCUUAUUUGGGGGAGAUGAGACUCCCAGAGUAAGGUCCUGUCAAGAGCUGUGAAAGGGCUGAGAUUUUCCCCCACUUGUAAGUGAGGAGCUAGCCCACCAGUGUCCUGGGUGCUGGCAGGAGACACAGGACCCUGGGUCAGAGAUAAAGGACUUAAAUUAUAUCAGUAGUCUGGGUGCCAGUCUUUUCUUGUGCUAGUUCCCCAGUUCCUGCAGGGUGACUCAGGUGGCCACAUGGUGACUGCAUGGCAGCGGGUGGCAUUACAGGAGAGGAACCUGGAGCCCAAGGCAGGCAAGGCUUGUACGAUGGGAAGCACGGCUGCCACCCCUUCUCCAGAGGGAACCUCCAUCUCCGAGGUUCCAGGCUGUCCACCGUGUAAGCAUGCUUGUAAAGACGGUCCAUCCAGAACAGAGGUGUCAGCGUCUCCGCCUGCAAGAUGUCAGACACAGGAGAGGCCCUUGGAGAACUGUCUUCCGCCCGACAUGACACAGCGCACGCCAAGCGCGGCACCAGGACAGAAGCACCCUGGUCCCCUGUGAGUGAGCAGAGCGCGCUGGGGGCUGCACAAUCAGGGGCCUGGAAGGGAGGGCGAGGCUGGACCAAGAGCGGGGAGAGGGCUCCACCCCCUGUGCAGGUGCGCAGACAUGGUACGAGGCGUUCGUAGACCUACCAAAGAGCAGUUUGGUGGAAGGGAGAGUGUUAUAGGAAAGCCGUGGGGUCUGGACGUCCCGGGAGGGCCUGGGAUGCCUGAGGAACUUCCCGCAGCGAGGAGGAGGGUCGGUAAUGGUGCCGCCAGCGACACGGCUGGGGAUGGCCGGAGCGGAGGAGACGGGAGGCGAGGCAGGGACGGGUCUGGGCAUCAAGUGCUGGGCACGUGAGCGCUUGCCACAUGGCAGGGCAGCACACCCGUAUUUAUUGUUUUGCUUCCUUUACUAUGCAGCAGGCAGGAAAGCUUGCAGGGAACUUCAUGUCUGUAAGGAUGAAGGGGUAGCACCAUUGAUAGACCCGUUACCUCAAGUGGCAUUUCCUAAAUUUCUCACGAGGGCAUCACCCAGGUGUUCAGUGCUGGAUCCUCUCAUGUAUUUUAGGAUCAGGCCCUUCCCUGCAGGUAUCAGUGUCAGGUUCUAAAGGACCCCAGGGGCCCUUACUGCCCAGGAUAAGGGAGGGCUUUGGUGUGGGGCGGAUAGAUAGAAAUACCCGUGUCGUACCUGGGUGACCAGUCAUGAUAGCAGCUCUGAAAGUGAGAAAACUAGUGUAAAGGACACAUCCGCAGGGAAACCCGGAUACUAACAGGCAAAUGGCUUCAACAGAGGAGCCCCUGACAAAGAAGAUGCUGGACAUCCCUGUCCUUAACCCUCAGACUGGAGACGGAAAUUCUACGUGUCCUCGAGUGGCUUCCUACUCUUCUCACAGAACAGUCCUGGCUCCUUGACCUGGUGUGAGAAGCAGCAGCACGCCCCUGGCCCCCGCACCUCCACAGUGAGUGAAGUGCCCCCGACUCGGCUUCCGCCAUCCAUCAUGGAAGGCUUUGGCAGACCGCUGUGGAAACCAACUCCUAAAUAUUUUAAGCAGAGACCAUGGCUGACAGGAGUCAAACUUUCUGUAUUAAUGGAGGAUUAAAACCUCAGCUGUUUCCAGUAAUUUAUUAUGCACCCGCUUAUAAACACAUUGCACUGGUCAUGGAAUGUAUACGUGUAGCAGGCCCUCCAGAGAUGGAUGAAGAACACUUCAAGGGCAUCAAGGGCACCCAGGUUCCAGCAUGGAAGCACAAUCACAGUUGGCAACCUUUGCAUGGGAAGUCCCCUGACCGUUGGUGACCUGUGUCCUGUGGCCACUGUCUGGGAACCACUGCACGUGGAAAAGGAGCAAGACCCUCUGGCCUUACUCAGACCCAUCAUUACACUGUCCCCAGAAGUGACCCAUGUCAGCCUUCAAGGGCUCAUGUUGCGAAAGGCAAUCAUCUGUCUCGUGAGAAAAGCCAUCGAAGUGCCAAAUUAUUGAUGGACAAAUCACCACACCCAGUGUGCUGUGUCUGACUGUGGGCACCACACCUCAGGGGCAACAUUAGCCCCAAACGUGACACAUGCAGGGCAGAAGCGUUCAGACCAGAAGGGGACACAAACCAUGCGAUGCUGGGACAAAGGAACAGGAUUCACAUGGAUAGAAGGGGUGGGGGGGCACGCUUGCUGUCCGAAUGCUCUGGAGGUUGUGGAGAGGAAGGUUUUCCCAGGGUGGGGGCGGAAACCAAUGGUAAAGGCUGGUUGCUGUGAAAACAGAUUUAUGCUAAAAAACCCAGGGGUGUGGGGGGAGUACUUCCUAACAGAGUUUGUGAGAACGGGCCGAGCUCUCUGUCGCUGGAGAUGCUCAGUCCUUGGCUGCAUGGCCAUGCUGGAAGAAACACUGCAGAAAAACUCCAGCGUCGGAUCACUGAAGGAAGGGACUAAGUUUCCCCUGCAGGACCUUGUGAUGCCAUGCAUGGGGGACUUGAAUCUGAAGUUGGGGUGUGUGUGGUCUUGUAAUAGGGAAGAAUAAAUCUGACUCCAUAUUGGAUCUAUUUCUUUAGCUCCAACCUUUGUGCCCUGUUGCCUCUGCUUAAGUCAUGCUGGCUCUGCACCUUUUGUAAAAGAAUGUUGCCUAUGGCUUGAAAUAUACAGGAUAGCCUGACCUUGACCUGACCUGAACACAGAAUAACAGAAACCUGGCCUACAGGGACAGCUACAAGAACAAAGGAUCUGACACCAAGAAGUUUGCAACAAUUCACACACCCCCUCACCUUGCCUUUAAAAAGGGCUUUGCUGAAAGCUUUUCGGAGUUUGGCCUUUUUAAGGCAUGAGCCACCUGUCUCCUUGCCUGGCCCCACAAUUAACCUCUCUGCUUCAAACUCUAAUGUUUCAGUAUUGUUCGGUCUCACUGUGUUAUUAGGCACAGACUUGCGUUCAGUAACAAUUAUGGUGAGCCAGCCAGGAAUCUGUGCCUGUGGCGGGUGGACCCCGGCCAGGGACAGCCCCUUCCCAAGUUCCCAGCAGCUGCUGGAGCUCAUUUUGCAUCCAGGAACUGUGAGGGACUCUCCCUGAGAGGCGUCAGCUGCCCCAGUGCACAAGGUCAUUUGGAGCAGAGAAACGUCCAGAGCUGUGGCCCACAUUUGGUGUCACUUGGGGGUAAGUCGCUCCAUCUUGCACAGGUUGGGAAUUCUCUCCACUCCAUUUGGGUUACUUCCCUUGUAGGAAGUGAGACACUCUGGGUCUGUUCUCUUUUGAGAGCUAAGCCAGUCUGUUUGGAGACCUCCAUCUGGGAGUAGAAAUGGAAUUUUAGACUACACCUCCACUGAUUUCUAUGUGACCGUAGUUUGUGUUUUUUUGUGUGUGUAUUGUUUUGGGGUGAGCCACUCCAGCUUGUGCCUUUGUUAGUGGGAGCAUUCGUUUGUUGUUUGUAUGUGUGUGUAUCAGUAUGCACUGGUCAGUUGAGACGUCUUCGGUAACAGGGCUUGCGUGUGACGGCACCAGGGUGUCCUUCCCUAUUGUGUUGGGUUUUGCCUGUGGUCGAGCAUUAGUUGGGAUUUUCCUUUUGCAAUGAAUGGGUAUCUCCCUUUUUGGCACUGGGGAACUGUGAUCCUGAAAGACCAUUUUGCAUUGCAUUUGUUUGCUUUAUUAAUAUUAGAUAACACCAGCCAUGAAUAAUUAAGUAUGGAUAAUCAGAGCUCUGUUCCAUCUUGUAGUCCCCCUAGCAUGUAUUUUGCAAAACUGGGAGAUCUUCAGUAUGCUCCUAGAAAGGGAGAGAAAGAAGAUUUUUUUUAAACAUUUCACCACCACUACAUUCUUUAGACUCUGGACUAAAUUACUUAAGAUGAAACUCUCUUAAAAUUCCAAAACUGGUUCUUUUUGCAUAUGCAGUUAAGAGAAAGCUGGCUUGAUAAAAUACCUUUUUUUCAGAAUUCUGACCCCAAGAGAACGAAAAUAUUCUGAGGAGCAAGCUUGAAGGUAACUAAGUAAGUUCAACCUAUUCCAACUGUUAUUUUUGGUUUGCAUUUGCCAGGUGAAUUGCCAUGACACGUGUGGUAAUGAUUCCUUAUCUUUACAUUUGCAUGUUGUUUGCUGUUAAAAAGUAGGAUCCUUGUUUGAAAAAGUUGAGGAAAUUGUUGGACUUCACCCUUUUGUUUUUGUUCUGCAGGAAUUAGAUUUUGUUCUGUGUGUAUGUUUACAUUUGUCUUGCAUAUAAGUUUGCUGGCUAUGAGAUCUAUCUGGAUGUAUGUGUUUCAUUAUGAUUAGGUGUCUUUGUCUUUGGAUAGUAUUGCUGAGGUUAACUUGUAAAUGAGCUCUAUUUAAUAGACUUAAAAGUAAAUGCUUACAAAUUAAAUACUUACUACUAUUUAGAAAACAGGCCAAAAUGAACUUCAGGUCCUCAUGAUCUGGGAAAUAUUCAGUAUGGAAUUGAUAUCUGGUAUUGAAGCUAGCUUAAGCUUGUUGGUUUGACUAAUACAGACAUGUCUUUUAGAAAAUUCAAACUAUUUAGGAUAAACCUUAUAACCAGCAAUAGAAAUUUCUAGUAAGAGUUUCCGAAAAGUAAGUAUAAAUUGUGAGAGAUGCCUUUAACAUUACUUACUUAGGAUGCUUUUAAAUGCUUGUAAUAGAAAACACAACUAAAAGUAUCUUAAACAAUUACGACUAAUUCCUAAUGGUUCCAGCAUAGAUUCAGUCAGUGAAUCAGUGACAUCAAGGAUCCAGGUUCUUGCCAUAUUUUCCUCUGCCAUUUUUACAUGUCCGUUUUGUCCUUGGAUUUGUUCCCUCAUGAUCCUAAGACAGCUUCCACGGCACCAGUCCUCAUCCAACAAUGACCAGAUUCAGGAAAGUAUGAACCUUUUGUCCCUUUCAAGAGCAAAGGAAACCCAAAAGUUCCCUUAUUUGCCUUCACAGUUCUUAAGCAAGGUUGCACCUGUAUUAAAUCAAAUAUUGCCAAGAAGAAAAGGAAUUACACCAGGAUUGCUUUAACCUAAUCCUCAUUCACCCACUGGGGCUAAGGAGGGACCAAUGAAAAUCAUGGGCCUAAUAACUGAACAGUAUUGGGGUUCUCUUGGCAAGGAAGUAUGAAGGCAAUUGUUGGUGUGGUCAAUACAGACAUGUCUUUUAUUGUGCCUGGGUUUACUGAGGGUGAAUGGGUUUAUGUUGUUUCUGUUGCAGUUUGUCAACAGAAAAAAAAAUUAGCUUGGUAUGAUGAAAUUCUUAUAAGUAAAUUAGAUGCAAAUAGGAUGAGAGCUUUUGGGUGACCUCUUUAGAAAUGGCUAUGAUU
Molecule: long non-coding RNA, 8671 nt
Organism: Aethalodelphis obliquidens (Pacific white-sided dolphin)
Lineage: Eukaryota; Metazoa; Chordata; Mammalia; Artiodactyla; Delphinidae
Exons: 5
Source: RefSeq, a predicted model, not a curated record